This is a long non-coding RNA of Corticium candelabrum, 1098 nucleotides long. RefSeq lists it as uncharacterized. The transcript is spliced from 4 exons. The record is from RefSeq and is a predicted model, not a curated record. Lineage: Eukaryota; Metazoa; Porifera; Homoscleromorpha; Homosclerophorida; Plakinidae.
CUCGCUGUACACGAAGUCCACGUUUCCGGGUCUGCUUCUGAACCGUAGAUCAUCUUGCCGUUGACUAGGCUUUAGACGCGUAGGAAGCCAUUUCUUGAGUACGGCUUCUCAAGGGUAAGAGACUGCUGUUCAAGCUGAAGUCGCCUGAUUCACACUCUGAACAUAUACACGUGGAGUAGAAAGACAGACUACUCAUUGCUUAGUGAUGGAAGUUUUGUCAGAUGAAGAUUGUGUGGUAGGGGAACCCAUUCGGGGUAACCGAACGUGACGCACUGUCACUGUCUGUGUGGCUGAAACUAGUACUUUUCCCCCAUCUAGCAAACUACUUGAACUGUGGAACUGUGAAAUUAUGUAUCUUGUCGAACUAGAGUCAGCAAAAGUUUGUCUAGCUUAUCCAACUCGUCAUGGAAGGCGAGAAAUUGUCUUGGCUGCUUUCAGUCGAACUCCACACUGUAUCAAGCACAUUUCUCUACACAAAACCUGAAUACAAGGUCUUGCUCGAGAACUCUAAUCUUGUUUUGAAGUUCCACUAUUUCAUUUGCUUGCUGUUCAAUUAUCGGACGUAAACCGUCAGCUUCAGCGCCUCAGUGACAUUUUUGACAACUAACAUCUUCAAUUUUGAGAUCACUACUAUACACAUGUCUUGAUCAACUGCAAAUGAGGUAGAACAGCCUCUGCUUUCUGGUUUAGACAUUACAGCUAUGGAAUAGUGCGUAGGUGUUGUGUUACUUUAGACAUAACUGUUGCUGGGACUUGUAGACUGGCAGUGCUAAUUGUAAACAGACUACAGAGUACGUGUACUGUGCUCUUAUCCGCGUCAGUGUACUUAUCGAGUGCAAGUUAUCACAGUAAGAACUUAAGCUUGGCCAAUCACAUAUAUACAGAAGCAAGCUAGACUGCCCAGAUACAACGCGGAACGCGUACAUGUUUGGCUACCCGAAAUGGGUUCCCAGGUGGCAUGAUUUCACUCGCCAAACUAAUUCAUCUCUAGGCAAUGAGUAGUCUGUGCUUCCACUCCACGUAUAUCUGUUCAGAGUGUGAAUCAGGCGACUUCAGCUUGAACAGCAGUCUCUUACCCUCGAGAAGCCGUACUCAAGA